ACUUUUUUUUUUUGGGGUGUGGAAACUGGAAAGGCCAAAAAAAAUGUUAGCCGCGACCAGGUUCAGUCUCCCAAACCCGACCCCACCUGAACACAAACCUCCGAUUCCAACAAUAUCUCUCUCCUCCGAACCUCCCUCCAAACCCCAGCCUCGGAAACUAAAGGGAAGCGCGAAGCUAAACCUCUGGUCCAGAGCUCGGUCAAUACGGUCCGGUCGGAAAUUAGAGCGCCCGGCUGAAAUUCCGGCCAAGGCGGCGACUCUGGUUGAGAAACCUCUGGUACGAACCGGCGACGCUGUUUCCGAUUCUGAUAAAGAAGAUGACGGCGAAAUUAGGGAGGGUAAGUCGAUUUAUAUGGUCUCUGACGGAACUGGAUGGACGGCGGAGCAUUCCGUUAGCGCGGCGUUAGGGCAGUUUGACCAUUGCUUAGUUGAUCAUGGUUGUUCAGUUAGUACUCACUUGUUUUCUGGGGUAGAUGACAUUGAGCGACUCAUAGAAAUCGUGAGACAAGCUGCAAAAGAAGAUGCUAUGCUUGUCUAUACUAUUGCUGAACCUUCAAUGGCUGGUGCUGCAAGAAAAGCCUGCCAAUUAUGGGGCGUACCAUGCACGGAUGUCCUUGGCCCAAUAACCGAGGCAAUUGCUUCUCAUCUUGGAGUUUCGCCUUCAGGGCUUCCCCGUGGAGCAGGAGGUAGAAAUUUCUUGAGUGAAGAUUACUUCCAAAGGAUCGAAGCCAUUGAAUUUACUAUAAAACAAGACGAUGGGGCUCUACCUCAGAACUUACGUAAAGCUGAUAUUGUACUCACUGGUGUUUCUCGUACUGGAAAAACUCCUCUGUCGAUUUACCUUGCACAAAAAGGAUACAAAGUAGCAAACGUUCCUAUCGUAAUGGGUGUGGAAUUACCCAAAACUUUGUUUGAGAUAGAUCCGGAUAAAGUUUUUGCUUUGACUAUUGAUCCGGUUGUCUUGCAAUCGAUUAGAAAAUCACGGGCCAAGACUCUAGGCAUAGCUGAACAUGAAAUGCACAACUACUCACAGAUGGGGUAUGUGAAAAAGGAUUUGGAACGUGCGAGUAAAAUUUUUACUCAAAAUCCCAGCUGGCCUGUAAUUGAGGUGACUAGCAAAGCUAUUGAAGAAACUGCAGCAAUUAUCUUAAGGAUAUACCAUGACAGAAAACAGAAGCGAUCAUUGCCCAGUAUUUCAAAGCGCUACUAGAGAUGAUGAAUGCGCGACAGUCUGAAGUUUCUGAUGACGAAUACUCCGUACAUCAGGGUAAGGUUGCGUACACCCGACGAGACAACGGGGUAAUGAUAAUGAUGAUGAUGAUAUGCUUAUUCGGAAGUUUCAAAUGAACAAAUAAGCAAAACAUAUAGCCUUUUAGAUGCGGAGUGUCUUAUAAGGUAUAACCGGUUGUACAUAUUAAAAUUAUCCUUUUAGCCCUAGACCAAAGACGAGGGGAAUCGAAUAAUAGUAAGACAUAAAAAUGUGGCUCCCUGUUUCUCUAUUGUCUCUUCUUUUCUUCCCAAACUACCAUCACUAUGUCUAUCAUUAAUUGACUACCAACUCAAUCAUUGUAACAACUAUCUCUACCAUACGACUAUCCUUGUACCUUUGAUGGGCAACUACCAAACCCACAAGGCCACAAGCAAUCAAUUAACCACCAUUUUCACUUCAAACCCCCUUGUUGUGUGGAUACUUCAUAUCUGAAGUUUACUAUAUGUAACUUGCACUCUGUUUUACGGA
Molecule: RNA transcript, 1738 nt
Organism: Spinacia oleracea (spinach)
Lineage: Eukaryota; Viridiplantae; Streptophyta; Magnoliopsida; Caryophyllales; Amaranthaceae
Gene name: probable pyruvate, phosphate dikinase regulatory protein, chloroplastic
Exons: 4
Source: RefSeq, a predicted model, not a curated record